Arachis duranensis is the source of this 716-nucleotide long non-coding RNA. RefSeq lists it as uncharacterized. The record is from RefSeq and is a predicted model, not a curated record. The transcript has 4 exons. Lineage: Eukaryota; Viridiplantae; Streptophyta; Magnoliopsida; Fabales; Fabaceae.
UUCACUCUUCCUUUUACUCUGCUGUUUGAGAUGAAAUGAGAAGAGACGAGAAACAGGAAAAGUAACACCAUUACCUUCACCGUCGCAGAUCGCAUUCACCGUUCACCGUCACAGUGUGUUCGCCGUUCACCGUCGCUGCGUCGCAGUCGCGUUCGCUGUUCACCGUUGCGCUUCGCGCUCGCCUUUCACUGUUCGUCGUCCCCCGCGUCGUCCUUUCUCUUCUCCUAUUUUAUGUGUGCGAACCUUACCCUAAUUCUCCAUUUAGCGAUUUUUUUCUUCUUUUCCAACCCCACUGAACACUGAUAAGAGGAAGAACCACUGAAGCUGAAGCAAAAUUUGAGAAGCUCUUGAGAAGAAUAAAUGUAAAAUCUGAAAAGGUUGACCUGUCAAAAAGGUAAUGGUUUCUACAGAAGAGGAAUUUGAGCUUUGAAUAGGAAAACUCAAUUUGGCUGGCUCUGCUUUUGGUUUUGGUUUAACAAUUGAACCUCUCUAUGACACAGAUUUCAGGACGUUCGGUGAAGCUCUUUUGGUUCAGGCUUUCUACAAUUGGGCUAUAGCAAUCUCUGAUCGGACAAAAAUGCAUGGUCGCACAAGGGAAGCUGAAGAACUAUGGAAACAGGUCAGCAUAAAUAUGGUUCUUGGCAGCUCUUGCUCUUGUAGAUUGUAAAUUUGUUGAUGGAUACUGCAUAAUACUAAAUUCAGAACUCAUAGUGAAA